Molecule: long non-coding RNA, 896 nt
Filed under: Ananas comosus (pineapple)
Lineage: Eukaryota; Viridiplantae; Streptophyta; Magnoliopsida; Poales; Bromeliaceae
Description: long non-coding RNA (ACOM_LNC005796)
Source: RNAcentral
AAGUUAACUUGAAAAUUACUCUUUACUAGUGAAGGGCCCGUGCAUUGCACCGGAACGAUUCUGUAAAAAUAAAUAAUAAAAAAAGAGUCAAAAAGUUAUAUAAAAAAAAAUUAAAGAAUAAGCAACUAUUGCUGCAAUAAAAAUAUAAAAAUAAAUUAUAAGAAGGAUAAAAAAAAUAAAAGCAAAAACCAUACGAAUAAUAAAUUAUAUUUAUAGCAGCAAUUAACGCUGAGGACUAAAAUAAUAUUCCUCAUAUUUCAAAUAAAAAAUUACAACUAAUUAAAAUUUGAGGAUAAAAGUGUCACAUGCCUCAUAGUGUUGCUCGUCUUAUAGUUUUAAGGACGAAAAGUAUAAACCCAAUCUUUCAAAAUUUUAUUUUUACUAUCCAAGUUUUCUAUAUAUAAGAUUUGAGUAAAAUUUUGUUUUUACUCUCCAACUUUUCUAUAUAUUAGAUUUGAGUCAGUCAAUGAUACUUUCACUUUAAAAAUCUGAAUGUAUCGCUUAUCUCUACAGAUUUAAUUAGUAUAUUUUAUGCGAUUCUCGCAACCAAAUUUUGUAAAAUAUAAAAUUAAUCUAAACUCUAUCAAUUUUUUCUUUAUUUUUUACUGUACAAUUUAUAUCUAAAUGCUCAAUAUUAUAAAAUAAAAAUUUAUAUUUAAUACAAAUAGUCUAAACUAUUUAAAAAUUAUUUAUAUAUUUUUUAAUUUUUAUAAUAAUAAAUAAAAAAAUUAAAUUGGACUUAAAAAAAUUAUAAAUCUUCAUCUCUAUAUACGAAGAGAGAAAAAAUUGAAGAGAGGAAAAAAAAAAGCGCCCCCUCCCCUCUCCUCCGACUGGGCCCCACCCCACACCGGGCCCACUCUACGCGCUAGCACCCAUGCGCGCCCACUCGCGCCCUG